GUGGGGAACAUUGGACAAUGGGCGAAAGCCUGAUCCAGCCAUGCCGCGUGUGUGAAGAAGGUCUUCGGAUUGUAAAGCACUUUAAGUUGGGCGGAAGGGCAGUAAGUUAAUACCUUGCUGUUUUGACGUUACCGACAGAAUAAGCACCGGCUAACUUCGUGCCAGCAGCCACGGUAAUACGAAGGGUGCAAGCGUUAAUCGGAAUUACUGGGCGUAAAGCGCGCGUAGGUGGUUUUGUAAGUUGGAGGUGAAAUCCCCGGGCUCAACCUGGGAACUGCCUCCAAAACUGCAUGACUAGAGUACGGUAGAGGGUAGUGGAAGUUCCAGUGUAGCGGUGAAAUGCGUAGAUAUAGGAAGGAACACCAGUGGCGAAGGCGACUACCUGGACUGAUACUGACACUGAGGUGCGAAAGCGUGGGGAGCAAACAGGAUUAGAAACCCGGGUAGUCC
RNAcentral lists this ribosomal RNA (450 nucleotides) under uncultured bacterium. RNAcentral describes it as "partial 16S ribosomal RNA". It matches the Rfam family "Bacterial small subunit ribosomal RNA", at positions 354 to 796 of the family's 1533-position model. The record is from RNAcentral.